AGUCGACGAUUAAGCUCUCUUCGGAGAGUGUAUAGAGUGGCGCACGGGGUGAGUAACACGUAAGUAAUCUACCUUCGAGUGGGGAAUAACAGUCGGAAACGGCUGCUAAUACCGCAUAAUGCAGCGGCAUCGCAAGAUGACAGUUGUUAAAGGAGCAAUCCGCUUAAAGAGGAGCUUGCGGCAGAUUAGCUAGUUGGUAAGGUAAUGGCUUACCAAGGCUACGAUCUGUAUCCGGUCUAAGAGGACGGUCGGACACACUGACACUGAAUAACGGGUCAGACUCCUACGGGAGGCAGCAGUCGGGAAUUUUGGGCAAUGGGCGAAAGCCUGACCCAGCAACGCCGCGUGAAGGAUGAAGUAUUUCGGUAUGUAAACUUCGAAAGAAUAGGAAGAAUAAAUGACGGUACUAUUUAUAAGGUCCGGCUAACUACGUGCCAGCAGCCGCGGUAAUACGUAGGGACCAAGCGUUGUUCGGAUUUACUGGGCGUAAAGGGCGCGUAGGCGGCUUGACAAGUCACUUGUGAAAUCUCCGGGCUUAACUCGGAACGGCCAAGUGAAACUGUCAUGCUAGAGUGCAGAAGGGGCAAUCGGAAUUCUUGGUGUAGCGGUGAAAUGCGUAGAUAUCAAGAGGAACACCUGAGGUGAAGACGGGUUGCUGGGCUGACACUGACGCUGAGGCGCGAAAGCCAGGGGAGCAAACGGGAUUAGAUACCCCGGUAGUCCUGGCCCUAAACGAUGAAUACUUGGUGUCUGGAGUUAUUAUUGCUCUGGGUGCCGUCGCUAACGUUUUAAGUAUUCCGCCU
RNAcentral lists this ribosomal RNA (803 nucleotides) under uncultured bacterium. RNAcentral describes it as "bacterial SSU rRNA". It matches the Rfam family "Bacterial small subunit ribosomal RNA", at positions 60 to 874 of the family's 1533-position model. The record is from RNAcentral.